UACGUAGGGUGCAAGCGUUGUCCGGAAUUAUUGGGCGUAAAGAGCUCGUAGGCGGUUCGUCGCGUCGGCUGUGAAAACCUGAGGCUCAACCUCAGGCCUGCAGUCGAUACGGGCGGACUUGAGUACUGCAGGGGAGACUGGAAUUCCUGGUGUAGCGGUGAAAUGCGCAGAUAUCAGGAGGAACACCGGUGGCGAAGGCGGGUCUCUGGGCAUUACCUGACGCUGAGGAGCGAAAGUGUGGGGAGCAAACGGG
This 253-nucleotide ribosomal RNA is filed under the name uncultured bacterium. RNAcentral describes it as "partial 16S ribosomal RNA". It matches the Rfam family "Bacterial small subunit ribosomal RNA", at positions 524 to 776 of the family's 1533-position model. The record is from RNAcentral.